AAGUCUGAUGGAGCAACGCCGCGUGAGUGAUGAAGGUUUUCGGAUCGUAAAACUCUGUUGUAAGGGAAGAACCAGUAUGUCAGGCAAUGGACGUACCUUGACGGUACCCAAGAAGAAAGUCCCGGCUAACUACGUGCCAGCAGCCGCGGUAAUACGUAGGGGACAAGCGUUGUCCGGAUUUACUGGGCGUAAAGGGCACGCAGGCGGUUUUUUAAGUCAGAUGUGAAAGGUACCGGCUCAACCGGUGACAUGCAUUUGAAACUGAAAGACUUGAGUAUUGGAGAGGCAAGUGGAAUUCCUAGUGUAGCGGUGAAAUGCGUAGAUAUUAGGAGGAACACCGGUGGCGAAGGCGGCUUGCUGGACAAAUACUGACGCUGAGGUGCGAAAGCGUGGGGAGCAAACA
Molecule: ribosomal RNA, 403 nt
Filed under: uncultured Acetobacterium sp.
Lineage: Bacteria; Bacillati; Bacillota; Clostridia; Eubacteriales; Eubacteriaceae
Description: bacterial SSU rRNA
Rfam family: Bacterial small subunit ribosomal RNA
Source: RNAcentral